ACCCCCUAGAUCUAUGGGGCAGGAGGUGACUUAGGGGGCGCCCCAUAGAUCUAUGGGGCAGGACCUGGAACCGCCAUCCCAGGGGCCAGGAGCUGGGCUUGGGGGGUGCCCCCCGAGCUCUAUGGGGCUGGGGUUUGGGGGGGGACGGACUUUACCCCCUUUCCUGCCCCACAUCUCUGGGUCUGCCCCACAUCUCUGGGUCUGCCCCACAUCUCUGGGUCUGCCCCACACCAGGUGCUGCUCUACGGGCAGCUCUACCGCAUCUCGCUGGAGCUGGAGCUCCCGGAGUCACCCCCCAACCGGGCCCUGGGGAUGUUCAUGGUCAACAUCAGCUGCUACGGGCCCCACGGCCGCCCCAUAGCGACCGCCGCCCGCGCCACGAUGCUCCAUUACCGCUCCCCGCUGCUCCGCACCCUCCACACCGUGGCCUUCGCCGGACUCUUCCUCGGGGGCUUCGCGGAGCAGACGCAGACGCUGGAGGUGGAGCUUUGCUCCCGCUACCGGGAGGACCCCUACCUGCCGACGGCGGGGGCGGUGCUGCAGAUCCAGAGCAAACGGGUUCAAUUCUAUGGGGCUCGGCUCCGCGUCCAGGCGCGAUUCAGCGGCAUCAGGUGAGGGGGGCUCUGCCCCACAGCGACCCACGGCUGCCCCACAGCGACCCACGGCUGCCCCAUAGCGACCCAGAGCUGCCCCAUAGCGACCCAGAGUCAACCCCAGGGAUCAGCCCCGAGGAUUAGCUCUGUUACCGGCCCCAUAGAUCAGCCCCAUAGACGGUCUCCUGGCUCUGCCCCAUAGCAGACCCACAGCUGCCCCAUAGUGACCCAGAGCUGCCCCACAGCGACCCACGGCUGCCCCAUAGUGACCCACGGCUGCCCCACAGCGACCCACGGCUGCCCCAUAGUGACCCACGGCUGCCCCAUAGCGACCCACAGCUGCCCCAUAGCGGCCCCAGAGUCAACCCCAGGGAUCAGCCCCGAGGAUUUGCUCCGUUACCAGCCCCAUAGAUCAGCCCCAUAGACGGUCUCCUGGCUCUGCCCCAUAGCAGACCCACAGCUGCCCCAUAGUGACCCAGAGCUGCCCCACAGCGACCCACGGCUGCCCCAUAGUGACCCACGGCUGCCCCACAGCGACCCACGGCUGCCCCAUAGUGACCCACGGCUGCCCCAUAGCGACCCACAGCUGCCCCAUAGCGGCCCCAGAGUCAACCCCAGGGAUCAGCCCCGAGGAUUUGCUCCGUUACCAGCCCCAUAGAUCAGCCCCAUAGACGGUCUCCUGGCUCUGCCCCAUAGCGACCCACAGCUGCCCCAUAGCGACCCAUAGCUGCCCCAUAGCGGACCCAGAGCUGCCCCAUAGCGACCCACAGCUGCCCCAUAGCGACCCACGGCUGCCCCAUAGCAGCCCCAGGGUCAACCCCAGGGAUCAGCCCCGAGGAUUCGCUCCGUUACCAGCCCCAUAGAUCAGCCCCAUAGAUCAGCCCCACAGACAGUCUGCUGGCUCUGCCCCAUAGCGACCCACAGCUGCCCCAUAGUGACCCACGGCUGCCCCAUAGCGACCCACAGCUGCCCCAUAGCGACCCAUGGCUGCCCCAUAGCGACCCACGGCUGCCCCAUAGCAGCCCCAGGGUCAACCCCAGGGAUCAGCCCCGAGGAUUCGCUCCGUUACCAGCCCCAUAGAUCCUCCCCCAGCCCCACUUCCAGCCCCAUAGAUCAAGCAGAACUUGCCCCAAUCCCCCCUCCU
Molecule: long non-coding RNA, 1737 nt
Filed under: Calidris pugnax (ruff)
Lineage: Eukaryota; Metazoa; Chordata; Aves; Charadriiformes; Scolopacidae
Description: lncRNA (ENSCPUG00000000341.1)
Source: RNAcentral